This 1517-nucleotide ribosomal RNA is filed under the name uncultured Bacillus sp. Its description in RNAcentral is "bacterial SSU rRNA". It matches the Rfam family "Bacterial small subunit ribosomal RNA". Lineage: Bacteria; Bacillati; Bacillota; Bacilli; Caryophanales; Bacillaceae. The record is from RNAcentral.
AGAGUUUGAUCCUGGCUCAGGACGAACGCUGGCGGCGUGCCUAAUACAUGCAAGUCGAGCGGACUGAUUAAGAGCUUGCUCUUAUGACGUUAGCGGCGGACGGGUGAGUAACACGUGGGCAACCUGCCCUGUAGACUGGGACAACAUCGAGAAAUCGAUGCUAAUACCGGAUAAUAUCUGAGAUCGCAUGAUCUCGGGUUAAAAGAUGGCUCCGGCUAUCACUACAGGAUGAGCCCGCGGCGCAUUAGCUAGUUGGUAAGGUAAUGGCUUACCAAGGCGACGAUGCGUAGCCGACCUGAGAGGGUGAUCGGCCACACUGGGACUGAGACACGGCCCAGACUCCUACGGGAGGCAGCAGUAGGGAAUCUUCCGCAAUGGACGAAAGUCUGACGGAGCAACGCCGCGUGAGUGAUGAAGGGUUUCGGCUCGUAAAGCUCUGUUGUUAGGGAAGAACAAGUGUCGUUCAAAUAGGGCGGCACCUUGACGGUACCUAACCAGAAAGCCACGGCUAACUACGUGCCAGCAGCCGCGGUAAUACGUAGGUGGCAAGCGUUGUCCGGAAUUAUUGGGCGUAAAGCGCGCGCAGGCGGUCUUUUAAGUCUGAUGUGAAAGCCCCCGGCUCAACCGGGGAGGGUCAUUGGAAACUGGGAGACUUGAGUACAGAAGAGGAGAGUGGAAUUCCACGCGUAGCGGUGAAAUGCGUAGAUAUGUGGAGGAACACCAGUGGCGAAGGCGACUCUCUGGUCUGUAACUGACGCUGAGGCGCGAAAGCGUGGGGAGCAAACAAGGAUUAGAUACCCUGGUAGUCCACGCCGUAAACGAUGAGUGCUAGGUGUUAGGGGUUUCGAUGCCCUUAGUGCCGAAGUUAACACAUUAAGCACUCCGCCUGGGGAGUACGACCGCAAGGUUGAAACUCAAAGGAAUUGACGGGGGCCCGCACAAGCAGUGGAGCAUGUGGUUUAAUUCGAAGCAACGCGAAGAACCUUACCAGGUCUUGACAUCCUUUGACAAUCCUAGAGAUAGGACUUUCCCCUUCGGGGGACAAAGUGACAGGUGGUGCAUGGUUGUCGUCAGCUCGUGUCGUGAGAUGUUGGGUUAAGUCCCGCAACGAGCGCAACCCUUGAUCUUAGUUGCCAGCAUUUAGUUGGGCACUCUAAGGUGACUGCCGGUGAUAAACCGGAGGAAGGUGGGGACGACGUCAAAUCAUCAUGCCCCUUAUGACCUGGGCUACACACGUGCUACAAUGGAUGGUACAAAGAGCAGCAAAACCGCGAGGUCGAGCCAAUCUCAUAAAGCCUUUCUCAGUUCGGAUUGUAGGCUGCAACUCGCCUACAUGAAGCCGGAAUUGCUAGUAAUCGCGGAUCAGCAUGCCGCGGUGAAUACGUUCCCGGGCCUUGUACACACCGCCCGUCACACCACGAGAGUUUGUAACACCCGAAGUCGGUGGGGUAACCUUUUGGAGCCAGCCGCCUAAGGUGGGACAGAUGAUUGGGGUGAAGUCGUAACAAGGUAGCCGU